AACGAACGCUGGCGGCAUGCCUAACACAUGCAAGUCGAACGAACCCUUCGGGGUUAGUGGCGCACGGGUGCGUAACGCGUGGGGAUCUGCCCAAAGGUUCGGAAUAACUCAGAGAAAUUUGAGCUAAUACCGGAUAAUGUCUUCGGACCAAAGAUUUAUUGCCUUUGGAUGAACCCGCGUAGGAUUAGCUUGUUGGUGGGGUAAAGGCCUACCAAGGCGACGAUCCUUAGCUGGUCUGAGAGGAUGAUCAGCCACACUGGGACUGAGACACGGCCCAGACUCCUACGGGAGGCAGCAGUGGGGAAUAUUGGACAAUGGGCGAAAGCCUGAUCCAGCAAUGCCGCGUGAGUGAUGAAGGCCUUAGGGUUGUAAAGCUCUUUUACCAGGGAUGAUAAUGACAGUACCUGGAGAAUAAAGCUCCGGCUAACUCCGUG
Molecule: ribosomal RNA, 434 nt
Filed under: uncultured bacterium
Lineage: Bacteria
Description: bacterial SSU rRNA
Rfam family: Bacterial small subunit ribosomal RNA
Source: RNAcentral